Molecule: ribosomal RNA, 519 nt
Filed under: uncultured eukaryote
Lineage: Eukaryota
Description: partial 18S ribosomal RNA
Source: RNAcentral
GAAGGGAACAGAGACGACUGAAGCCUGAUCCUUAAUUUGACUCGCAAGGAGAAACUCACCCCCGCCCCUGAGGUAAGGAUUGAAAGUUAGCUAGUUUGCACGUGAUUCGUUGGAUGGCGGCCCAUGGCCUUUUUUACUCUUUGGAACGAACUGUGUGGUUUAUUCCCUUUCCCCUAAGAACCGCAUAUCAAACUGGUUAUUAUGUUGUAUCUGGGAGUCCGCCUACUUAGAGGUAUUGAGGGCGUUUUCCCGAACGUUCAUACGCCAUUUAAGAUCGGCAUCAAAAUUAUAAGAACGUGCAGCAAACCAGAUGCAGUCCAGUGUUGACGUCUCUGUCUACGCCCCCUUUUGCCCCAAACCUAUAACCAAUUACCGCGAUAGGUUUCUAUGACCAACAGAAAUCGUCAGCGUGCGGAUUUGCGUGGGCCUGACUUUUUGGGUUACGACGUAAAGUUCAUCACUCAGGAAACGCCAUUCCCCCCGAAAGAACCGGCCUAUUAGGUCGGUAAGCCACUAGAG